CCCAAAGAUCAUCUCCUGAAAAUGACAUCAACAAACUGUAUUGUACAAAAAAGGAAUGAAUACAUAGCAACUUUCCAAUUGGUACUGUGUUUCUGUGGCUUGGGAACCUUUUUGAACGCCAAAUUAUGCUUUAAAAAAAACCAGAACCUGAAGUGGCGGAAUGGAAAUCAAAGCAGUGCUAUUUUGUGUGGUUUCUGGUAAAACAUGAAGACAGUGAUUAGCAGCUCAUGAAAUUUCUAUACCAGAGGCAGAGACCCCGGCUUCACCAUUCAAAAGAGAGGAGGCCCUUGGAAUGGGAGCAGAGGAUUUCAGGCAGCCCCAGUCAGCUGCUGAGCAGGCUUCAUAAGAGGAGUUUUGAAUGUGACUAACCAGAUGCAUGCAGAAAGUCACAACAAGAAACCUGGGUAGCCAUCAUUAUUUUGGACUGCAAAACAUUUUGAUUGGGGUGAAGGCAGGAGUUGUCCCCGAUUGUGUAGGCGGCACCAGGAGAUGAACACCUCACGUUUUCCUUGUGCUAAGAUCUUUCCGGAGAGACAUCCAGCUGAGGCCCUGCCCACUUACAGUUAUUACAGUCUCUGUACCAGUUUUUGCAAGAUCAGCAAUGCUACUCUGGAGCCUGGGCCGCAUUCCAAUUCAGAAUUCUCCAGGGACAACGGAAGGGAAAGAAGGAACCGAAUGAAACACCGCGUUGGGCACGCUCCGCAGUUAUUAGGAAAAUUCCACCUUCAUGCAAAUUGUAUUUCAUCACUUCAUUAAGAAGCUCUCUCCUCAGCUGCUGCUUUCGGAAGCUGCAUGACAAUCACUCCUUUUAUUUCCCUCACUGUCAGGGCCUUUUUCCAACUACAGCUGCAAUG
Molecule: long non-coding RNA, 854 nt
Organism: Mauremys reevesii (Reeves's turtle)
Lineage: Eukaryota; Metazoa; Chordata; Testudines; Geoemydidae
Exons: 6
Source: RefSeq, a predicted model, not a curated record